CGAUAACGAACGAGACCUUAACCUGCUAAAUAGCCAGGCUAGCUUUGGCUGGUCGCCGGCUUCUUAGAGGGACUAUCGGCUCAAGCCGAUGGAAGUUUGAGGCAAUAACAGGUCUGUGAUGCCCUUAGAUGUUCUGGGCUGCACGCGCGCUACACUGACGAAGCCAGCGAGUUUACAACCUUGGCCGGAAGGUCUGGGUAAUCUUGUGAAACUUCGUCGUGCUGGGGAUAGACCAUUGCAAUCAUUGGUCUUCAACGAGGAAUUCCUAGUAAGCGUGAGUCAUCAGCUCGCGUUGAUUACGCCCCUGCCCUUUGUACACACCGCCCGUCGCUACUACCGAUUGAAUGGCU
Molecule: ribosomal RNA, 350 nt
Filed under: uncultured fungus
Lineage: Eukaryota; Fungi
Description: SSU rRNA
Rfam family: Eukaryotic small subunit ribosomal RNA
Source: RNAcentral